This 651-nucleotide ribosomal RNA is filed under the name Flavobacterium sp. MPCa5SU_Cu11. RNAcentral describes it as "bacterial SSU rRNA". It matches the Rfam family "Bacterial small subunit ribosomal RNA", at positions 78 to 724 of the family's 1533-position model. The record is from RNAcentral. Lineage: Bacteria; Pseudomonadati; Bacteroidota; Flavobacteriia; Flavobacteriales; Flavobacteriaceae.
GCUUGCUUUUCUGAUGACGAGUGGCGCACGGGUGCGUAACGCGUAUGCAAUCUACCUUUUACAGGGGGAUAGCCCAGAGAAAUUUGGAUUAAUAUCCCAUAGUAUCAAGAGUCGGCAUCGGCAUUUGAUUAAAGAUUUAUCGGUAAAAGAUGAGCAUGCGUCCUAUUAGCUAGAUGGUGUGGUAACGGCACACCAUGGCAACGAUAGGUAGGGGCCCUGAGAGGGGGAUCCCCCACACUGGUACUGAGACACGGACCAGACUCCUACGGGAGGCAGCAGUGAGGAAUAUUGGACAAUGGGCGCAAGCCUGAUCCAGCCAUGCCGCGUGCAGGAAGACUGCCCUAUGGGUUGUAAACUGCUUUUAUACGGGAAGAAACACUCCCUCGUGAGGGAGGUUGACGGUACCGUAAGAAUAAGGAUCGGCUAACUCCGUGCCAGCAGCCGCGGUAAUACGGAGGAUCCAAGCGUUAUCCGGAAUCAUUGGGUUUAAAGGGUCCGUAGGUGGAUAAUUAAGUCAGAGGUGAAAUCCUGCAGCUCAACUGUAGAAUUGCCUUUGAUACUGGUUAUCUUGAGUCAUUAUGAAGUGGUUAGAAUAUGUAGUGUAGCGGUGAAAUGCAUAGAUAUUACAUAGAAUACCAAUUGCGAAGGCAG